CUACCAACUGAGCUAACGGCAUAUUUUAAGAACUAACUUCUAUUUCAUACUUUUAUACAUGCAAAUUAUCAGAAACCUCUUGUUGAUUUUAUACAGACACUUGUGUAAAAGUUCAUAGCAAGCCAAGAUUAAUCCCUCUAUUGUAUCACACACGUGGAGGGGCGCUAAAAAAUGCGUAGACAGCAAGUUUUGUUCGACCUUGUUUAAGCUUGCCCGUGUUACGUCAUUGCAUAUAAUUAUGACGUAUGCUAAUGAUGAGUGACGUCAGCUCCGCUAUCUAUUAAUUACCUCACCCUCACUACCCUCAUUUGUAUGAAUAUUAAUUACCUCACCCUCACUCACCCUCAUUUGUAUGAAUAUUAAUUACCUCACCCUCGUUCACCCUCAUUUGUAUGAAUAUUAAUUACCUCACCCUCACUCACCCUCAUUUGUAUGAGUAUUAAUUAACUCACCCUCACUCACCCUCCCUCACCCUCCCUUACCCUCAAAAAUCUGGGUCGAACGGUACCUACCCUUGUGGAAUCAAACACUAUUUAAUUGCUAUUUAUUUCCUAUUUUAUUGGGCUAUUUAAUUCCUAUUUAUCAAAGUAUUUAUUUCCUAUGUUUACUAUUAUUUUUUUCAAGGUUUUUCCUAUUUAAAUUAGGGUAGAAAGGCUAUUUUUUUCCUAUCCAAGUGGAACCAUAUUUUUUUC
This is a non-coding RNA of Paramuricea clavata, 692 nucleotides long. The record is from the annotation of a GenBank genome assembly. Lineage: Eukaryota; Metazoa; Cnidaria; Anthozoa; Malacalcyonacea; Plexauridae.